Molecule: ribosomal RNA, 412 nt
Filed under: uncultured bacterium
Lineage: Bacteria
Description: bacterial SSU rRNA
Rfam family: Bacterial small subunit ribosomal RNA
Source: RNAcentral
AUCUUGCGCAAUGGCCGAAAGGCUGACGCAGCGACGCCGCGUGUGGGAGGACGCCCUUCGGGGUGUAAACCACUGUUGCCCGGGACGAACACACCAUUUCGAUGGUGCUGACGGUACCGGGUGAGGAAGCACCGGCUAACUCCGUGCCAGCAGCCGCGGUAAUACGGAGGGUGCGAGCGUUGUCCGGAAUCACUGGGCGUAAAGGGCGCGUAGGUGGCGCGGUUAGCGUGUGGUGAAAGCUCGGGGCUCAACCCCGAGUCGGCCAUGCGAACUGCCGGGCUUGAGCACUGUAGAGGCAGAUGGAAUUCCGGGUGUAGCGGUGGAAUGCGUAGAGAUCCGGAAGAACACCGGUGGCGAAGGCGGUCUGCUGGGCAGUUGCUGACACUGAGGCGCGACAGCGUGGGGAGCAAAC